AUAUUGUUGUUGGUGGUAGAGUUAAGAUUUGGUCCCGGGAAUUGCCCGUUAAUAAGAAUACCCUUUACUGGCACUCCCAAGGGAGCAAUGGUGCCAUAGGUGACGUUCCAUUCGAAAAAAAGGGUGGGAUCUCCGCCCUGGACCAUAAGCAUUGAUCCUGCCAAGAGAAAUAGCAUCGAUAUUAACAUUAAUCGAGCCAUCUCUUACCCUUUUUUUUCGCCCGACAGUAAUUUAUUAAUUAUCCCCUUCUAGAGGAAGAGGAAGAUGGUUUGCUUGAGUUGAUUUUGAAUUGCAUGCAUACCUCUCCUUUUAUACCACACAACCUCUUCAAUUCUUCCAUCUUAAUCCCUUAGAAUACGCUCAUCCAUUCAUUUAUUUCCUUGCUUUUAGCAAAUACUGUUUUUAACACUAAUCAUUUUGAGUUUAUCAUUCUCUUCUUUUCCAUCAAGGAUUUGCACAUCCACUGUGCUGAUGGCUAACCUUUUUUUUAGGACGAUGGUUACUCUGAUGAGAGUUCUUUUAGUUAUUUUCUUAAUUUAAAUAUAUAAAUAUGAAAUGUAUUAAAGUAACAUUAACCUCCAUUAUUAUAUAAUCAUUAUAGACAGUUGAUAUUAAGUGAAACUUCAUAUAUAAUUAAAUUAUGACCCACCAUAAAAGUUCAAAUUGAAUAAAUAAUAUGAAAAGAAAUUUAUAACUAAUUUCAUUUUUUUAGAGAUUAUAACAUACUAAUAACAUCAUAUAUCCAUUUGUGGUAUUCUAUGAGAGUAAUAUAGAUAAAAUUAAAACAUUGUAGAGGGUUCAGAGGGAGCUUUAUAAAUAAGUGAACAUGAUAUAUCGAAAGAAGGCAGAGAAGAAUACUAGAGCUGAUCCUAUAACAUUGAUCACAGCAACAAGUGAUGUUUGAUAAGCAAGAGAAAGGGAAUUGUAGUUGAUGAUAAGGCUAAACAACAACAACAACAAAAGUUGAAAGAAUUUUAGAGAGCUUUGAGAAUUAGAGUAUCAAAGUGCCAAAAAGUCACUCAACUAGUUGUGAUGGGCUCCUAUUUAUACUAGGUAUUUAAUAUGAGUAAUGAAAUUAGGUUUCAAUUGCAAUGGCAAUAUAUGGUUAAGACGGGAUGGUGAAUGGCCUUUUUGGUGAUGAUAAUGAUGAAUAUUGAAGAAAUGUUCACCAUAUUUUUGAAAUAAAGGAAAAACACUCAAUGUUAGAGGAAAAUGUUAAGAGGAAACUAUUUAAUUAUCUCCAUAUUUAAUCUACCAAGCCAAGUUCUCCGGAAAAUCUCAAGAGUGAAGACAACCCGAGAACUCUGUCGUAGGUUAUUUUCACUUCUUCUACUUUGGUGAAGCGGUAUCUUGUGAAACCUUUACCGCAGAACAUCUCUUAGAAUGCAAGACAAUGGAUGUUCUUGAACGAGAGUUGUUCAUGGUGUUGAAAGGUCAACAAAGGUAGGAAGCAACUUGUUAAAAAGGUUGAGCAAGUUGCACCGAAUGUUGAAAAGUUGAAUGGGAUAAUUGCAAUUUUGGUCCCUAAUUUUUUAGGCCAUUUGCAAGUUAGUCCCUGAACUUCAACUAUAAAUAGGCCUUUUCAUUUUUCAUUUCAACCAUCCCAACCAAUCUUUCUCUCUUAGUUUUCUCUCUUCUCUCAUUUGAGAAUUCUUAAGGAAUUCUAUUUGUUUGUAAUACUUUGAAGAUAGUAAAUUUAUCAUCUGGUGUUAGUGCCCGAGGACGUAGGUAUAAUUUACCGAACCUCGUUAAAACUCUUGUGUUCUUUCUUGUCCUAUUUUUCUUUCAAUAUUUGAGGGUAUAAUAGUAGUAUUUAAUUGUGCUAUUAAAUUACUAUAGAAGGGAUAUUCUGUCUAAGGAAAGACUUGGUAUUUAAGAGAUCCAUGUGAUCCACCUCUCUUUCCUGGGAAUUGAACUUUGUGUGAUUUUUUAGUACAAUAAUUUACACGCUUCCGACCCUAUUGGAACAACAAGUGGUAUCAGAGCCGGAGGUUAAUCGUAGUAUGCUCUGUGGUUGCAGUUUAAACUAAUCUUCCACAUCAGAAAAGAUUUCCUUAGGUAUAUUGAAAGAUUAUGGAGAAAACGGUCGGUGUAGGAGCUUCAACAUCGUCCAUGUGGACAAGACCGACAAUUGCAAAUGCAAGAUUGGCCGUGGAGAUCUUUGAUGGCACGGGCCAUUUUGGUAUGUGGCAAAGUGAGGUUCUAGAUGCCCUUUUUCAGCAGGGUCUAGACAUUGCCAUUGAUGAAGAGAAACCAGAUGAUGUACAGGAGAAAGAUUGGAAGGCGAUCAAUCGGUUGGCAUGUGGCACAAUUCGAUCAUGCCUUUCUCGAGAGCAGAGGUAUGCUUUUUCAAAGGAAACUUCUGCAAAUAAGUUGUGGGUGGCACUUGAAGAAAUUUUUUUGAAGAAAAACAGUCAAAAUAAGCUCCACUUGAAGAAAAGACUGUUUUGCUUCACAUACGUCCCAAGUACCACAAUGAAUUAUCACAUCACCAAAUUUAAUCAGUUAGUCACUGAUUUGCUGAAUAUGGAUGAGAUAUUCAAAGAUGAAGAUUUGGCUUUGAUGCUGUUGGGGUCACUUCCUGAGGAGUUUGAGUUCCUAGAAACUACUCUACUUCAUGGCAGGAGUGAUAUAUCUCUGAGCGAAGUCUGUGCGGCCUUAUACAGUUAUGAAUAGAGAAAGAAGGACAAACAGAAAAACUCAAUCAGAGAUACAGAAGCUUUAGUAGUCCGAGGUCGUUCAUACACUCGGAAGAAAACUCAAAAUGGGAGAUCAAAGUCAAAGUCCAGACUCGGGAAAGAUGAAUGUGCUUUUUGUCAUGAGAAAGGCCACUAGAAGAAAAAUUGUCCAAAGCUGAAGAAUAAGGGAAAAGCUGCUGUAGAUGCUUGUGUUGCUAAGCAUGAUACUAGUGACUCUGAACUAUCACUGGUUGCAUCAUCAUCGUCGUUCCAUUCAGAUGAGUGGAUAUUGGAUUCGGGUUGUACCUAUCAUAUGUCCCCUAAUCGGGAGUGGUUCUCUGAUUUAGUAGAACUAAAUGGAGGAGUUGUUUAUAUGGGCAAUGACAAUGCCUGUAAAACUGUUGGGAUAGGUUCAAUCCAAUUAAUGAAUCAAGAUGGAUCAACCAGAGUUCUGACUGAUGUUCGGUACGUGCCCAGUUUGAAGAAAAAUCUCAUCUCAUUGGGAGCCUUGGAAUCCAAUGGUUCAGUUGUUACUAUGAGAGAUGGGAUUUUGAAAGUGACAUAUGGCGCACUUGUGAUAUUGAAGGGCAUCAAGAAAAAUAACUUGUAUUACUACCAAGGUAGUACAGUUAUUGGAGCAGUCGCUACAGCUUCCGGUAACAAAGAAUUGGACUCAAUGCAGUUGUGGCAUAUGAAGUUGGGACAUGCCAGCGAAAAAUCCUUGCAAAUUCUGGCAAAGCAAGGAUUGUUGAAAGAUGCAAAGGCUUACAAAUUAAAAUUUUGCGAGCAUUGUGUUAUGGGAAAGCAAAAGAGAGUGAAAUUCGGUACUGCUAUCCAUAAUACAAAAGGUAUUUUGGAAUAUGUUCACUCAGAUGUGUGGGGGCCUUCCAAGACACCUUCAUUGGGAGGAAAACACUACUUUGUUACUUUUGUUGAUGACUAUUCCAGAAGAGUUUGGGUGUAUACCAUGAGAACUAAGGAUGAAGUGCUUAGAGUUUUUCUUAAAUGGAAAACUAUGAUCGAAAACCAGACUGGCAAGAAAAUCAAGCGGCUUAGGACGGACAAUGGAGGGGAAUAUAAAAGUGAUCCGUUCUUCGAUGUGUGCCAAGAGUAUGGUAUUGUUCGACACUUCACAGUUAGGGAUACACCACAGCAGAAUGGAUUGGCAGAGCGUAUGAAUCGAACAUUGCUGGAGAAAGUUCGAUGUAUGUUGUCUAAUGCUGGGUUGGGCAAGCAAUUUUGGGCUGAGGCUGUGACAUACGCUGGCCAUCUUGUUAAUCGUUUGCCAUCAUCUGCAUUAGAAAGAAAAACUCCUAUGGAGGUAUGGUCUGGAAAACCGGCUACAGAUUAUGAUUCCUUACAUGUGUUUGGAUCCACUGCAUAUUACCAUGUGAAGGAGUCAAAGUUAGAUCCGAGGGCAAAGAAAGCUCUCUUUAUGGGAAUCACUUCUGGAGUGAAGGGAUUUCGUCUUUGGUGCUUAAGCACAAAGAAAAUAAUCUGUAGCAGAGAUGUUACCUUUGAUGAAUCUGCCACAUUGAAAAAGGUAGCAGAUAAAGAUAUUCAGACAAGCAAUACUCCACAGCAGGUGGAGUGUACUCCAAAACAGGUAGAGUUUGAGCAGAUGGGGAUUUGCCCAGUUAAUAAGUCUAAUUCUCCAGCCACAAUGGAGGAAUUAGAGGCUGAAGAGGUUCUGACCCAAGAACCACUAAGUACACCAGAACCAGUUGCAGUUGCAAGGCCACGGAGAGAAAUUCGUAAACCUGCUCGAUUUACUGAUAUGGUGGCCUACGCCCUUCCCGUUGUUGAUGAUAUUCCUAUCACUUAUCAAGAAGCAAUGCAAAGCUUAGAAAGUGACAAAUGGAAAAGUGCCAUGGAUGAAGAAAUACAGUCUCUCCUGAAGAAUAAUACUUGGGAAUUGGCGCAAUUACCGAAAGGUAAAAGGGCAAUCAGAUGCAAGUGGGUAUUCGCAAAGAAAGAUGGAUCUCCUAGCAAGAAGGAUAUUCGCUACAAGGCAAGAUUGGUAGCUAAAGGCUACGCUCAGAAGGAGGGAAUUGACUACAAUGAUGUAUUUUCCCCUGUUGUGAAGCAUUCCUCCAUUAGAAUUUUGUUGGCCUUGGUAACACAGUUGAAUUUGGAGCUAGCUCAACUUGAUGUUAAGACGGCUUUCUUGCAUGGUGAGUUAGAAGAGGAGAUCUAUAUGACUCAGCCCGAAGGAUACACAGAUGCUGGUGGUAGAAAUUGGGUUUGUAAGCUGAACAAAUCGCUAUAUGGAUUGAAGCAAUCCCCGAGGCAGUGGUACAAGCGAUUUGAUAGCUUUAUGAGAAGGCAGAAGUAUACAAGAAGCAAAUAUGACAAUUGUGUAUAUUUGCAGAAGCUGCAUGACGGAUCUUUCAUUUAUCUACUCUUGUAUGUUGAUGAUAUGUUAAUCGCUUCGAAGAGCCAAAAUGAGAUAGAUAAGCUGAAGGCUCAGUUGAAUCAAGAGUUCGAGAUGAAAGAUCUAGGUGAGGCCAAGAAGAUUCUCGGCAUGGAGAUAAGUAGAGAUAGACCGAGAGGCAAGCUCUGUUUAAAUCAGAAGCAAUAUCUGAAAAAGGUAUUACAAUGUUUUGGUGUAAAUGAAAACACAAAACAUGUAAGUACCCCACUUGCUUCUCAUUUGAAACUUAGUGCUCAAUUAUCUCCAAAGACUGAAGAUGAAAGAGAAUAUAUGGCGAAAGUCCCAUAUGAUAAUGCAGUUGGGAGUUUGAUGUAUGCGAUGGUGUGUACGAGGCCUGACAUUUCACAAGCUGUUGGAGUUGUGAGCAGGUAUAUGCAUGAUCCUGGAAAAGGACAUUGGCAAGCUGUGAAAUGGAUUCUACGGUAUCUUCGAAAAACCGUAGAUGUUGGUUUAAUUUUUGAACAGGAUGAAGCACUUGGUCAGUUUGUAGUUGGAUAUGUUGAUUCCGACUUUGCUGGUGAUUUAGAUAAACGUCGUUCAACUACGGGGUAUCUGUUUACUCUUGCGAAAGCCCCAGUGAGUUGGAAGUCUACCUUACAGUCUACAGUAGCUGUGUCUACUACAGAGGCAGAAUAUAUGGCAGUUACAGAAGCUGUUAAGGAGGCUAUUUGGCUUAAUGGAUUAUUGAAAGACUUGGGAGUUGUUCAAAGUCACAUUAGUCUAUAUUGUGACAGUCAGAGUGCUAUUCAUUUAGCGAAAAAUCAAGUCUAUCAUUCAAGAACCAAGCAUAUCGACGUAAGAUAUCACUUUGUGCGGGAAGUCUUUGAAAAAGGAAAAAUUCUACUUCAGAAGAUUCCGACAGCAGAUAAUCCCGCAGAUAUGAUGACCAAAGUGGUAACAACAAUCAAGUUUAAUCAUUGUUUGAACUUGAUUAACAUCUUGAGAAUUUGAGCACCUACAGGUGUAUGGCGCUCGAGAGCGCAUUUAGAGGCACUACAAAAGAUAACUUUAUCGAAUUUGGGGAGUUGAAGGAAGUGUGUGAAGAUGUGAUUAUCCUAAUCAAAUCUUCAAGGUGGAGAUUGUUGAAAGGUCAACAAAGGUAGGAAGCAACUUGUUAAAAAGGUUGAGCAAGUUGCACCGAAUGUUGAAAAGUUGAAUGGGAUAAUUGCAAUUUUGGUCCCUAAUUUUUUAGGCCAUUUGCAAGUUAGUCCCUGAACUUCAACUAUAAAUAGGCCUUUUCAUUUUUCAUUUCAACCAUCCCAACCAAUCUUUCUCUCUUAGUUUUCUCUCUUCUCCCAUUUGAGAAUUCUUAAGGAAUUCUAUUUGUUUGUAAUACUUUGAAGAUAGUAAAGUUAUCAUCUGGUGUUAGUGCCCGAGGACGUAGGUAUAAUUUACCGAACCUCGUUAAAACUCUUGUGUUCUUUCUUGUCCUAUUUUUCUUUCAAUAUUUGAGGGUAUAAUAGUAGUAUUUAAUUGUGCUAUUAAAUUACUAUAGAAGGGAUAUUCUAUCUAAGGAAAGACUUGGUAUUUAAGAGAUCCAUGUGAUCCACCUCUCUUUCCUGGGAAUUGAACUUUGUGUGAUUUUUUAGUACAAUAAUUUACACGCUUCCGACCCUAUUGGAACAACACAUGGAAAAGGGUUAUUCUUACUUGUUUCAAACAAAAGUUGUUCUAUGGUAAUGCUCCGUUUGGUAGAACUUAUUCUGAAUAAUGACUCUUUCGAAAAAAUACAAUUCUACUAAAUAGAAAUUGUUCUAAGCAUAGUUAUUCGUAAAACACCAUUAUUUUGAACAAAAGGUGCUCUGAACUUAAUCGAAUAUCACACGCAAGUAUAUGUAUCGUUACAAGUGGUAUAAAAUAUCGAUCCCAAAGAGAAUUUUGACUAAUUAGAAUGCCAAUCAUCAAAAUUUACUUUUAAUACCUAUCCAAAUAAAUCAAUGACUAAAUUAAAUACAAGAAAAUUCUAGAGUUCAAAGACAAGGGAAAUUCAAAUAGGCAUUACUGUUCUACAUCAAAAUACCAUUGGGGUGGCAUGACCCCAAUUUGUCUAAUAACAAUAAUGUAUCGAUUUCUCUGAGGGGUCGAGUGAGCACUUUAUUCCAAAAUCUUCUGAAACUUGUAGUUUGGACAAUGAAUCAGCUACCUUGUUUCUGUCCCUCUAAUUUCCAUAAUAUGUUCGUGGUGGCUUGAAAAGUGAAUAACAACUAUUUAAAUUUGAGAUUCAACUAUUAGAUUAAACUAGUUCUUUUUGUACAAAGGAAGGCUCAACUAGCCAUAAUGCAAAAAAAAAAAAACAUUAGAGCGUAGGAGCUAAAAGUUCCUACUAUCUUCACUUAGCACGUCAAUUACUCUUAGAAUAGAAACCAGCAAAAAGAGCUAAGUUAAAUACAUGGAUCAGAGACUACAGAGUAAGGUAAGUGUUGUUCUGCAAAUCCAAAUAAAAGCGGUUGGCCAGAAAAUAUUGAUCUGAAAGUGUUAGAAGUUGAAGUGAUUCGUUUAUCAAGUGAAGAGGAUGUCAACGAAUUAAUUGCAAAUCUAGAUAAUGUGAGUCCAAUGUCCUUGGCUGUGAUGGUGGCUUUACCUCUAGUGAGGUUUGACCUUUGUCAGGUUGUGAUGAUCAUCGGUGCAGGAGGGCUAGUAGGCAUUUGGAUAAAAGUGACGAUGAAAUUUCAAGUAACAUAAAGGGUGUUAGAUUUUGCUCAUUAGUCCAAGAAAAUGAAAAUGGGGGUAACUGUGUAAAAUAUGGUUGUGGAACGUUCAGAAGGUAGUAAUGAGCUGUGCAAUCGUAGUAGGGAAACAAAGAGUGUUCAUGGGCACAACGAUAAAGAGAGGAGGUACGAGACAGAAAAGAAAAACGAGCAAUCGAGGCUUAUAGCAUAUAAAAGGAUAUCUCAACUCAACCAGUGUGCCUCUGAAAGGCCUGAUCAUUGGUAUUUAUAUGAAAUAAAAUCUACUUUGGCUCAUUUUUCCCAAACAAUCUGCCUCUAUAUUUAUGUAAGUUUCAAUUUGUGAUUGAAAAGAAUUUGGAUGUGUCUUACAAGAACUUGACUCUCCAUUUUGGUCAUCAAGUAAAGAAAGAAGCUCAGCAUUGUUGUUUUCAACUCCCACUCUGUGAAACCCCUUGUUCUAUGCAAUAUUUAAGCCCUUUUAUCCAAGCUUCAACCCAAAACACUGAGCACAAACCCAAGUUUCUCAUGUGCCCAACAUAUAAAAGAAUAGAAAACCAAAAUUUCACAAAUAAAAAUAUAGGAAAGAGAAUUUGAGCAUGAUGUGAAUAUAAAAAUAAUAGUAAUAUGUACAUUUAUAAAUUAAUGUAUAUCAAAAUCUAUAUAAAACUAAAAUUUUAAUUUUAAAAAUAUAGGAAAAAAAUUGAGCAUCAUAUAUAUAUUUAUAAAUUUAGAAUAUUUCUUAUAUAUGUUUUUUUUCUCUAAUGUCGAUUUGGUUUCAUGUUAAAUUCUUAUUUGUGUUUUCUUCACGUUUAUAUCGUCCAUAUAAUUAAAAAAUAAUUAUGGUAAGGAUUAAAUAUUUUGAUGAAGAUGCAUUAGUCAUAAAAUAUUAGCCGUCCACACAAUGAAUUAAUGUGCAAAUAUUAUAUUAGAACAAAAGAGAAUCACGGUAAAAUCAAAUUGGUUAAUGUUAAAAAUAGUAUAUACUAAAAGAAAAUAAACAAAUGGAUGUGCGCAAUUUAAGGAUUUCAAGAGAAAAAUUGAAUGGUGAAGAAUGAUUGUAUUAGAAGGAGUUGUGUUGUAUAAAAGGGUAAGCCAACAUGCAACUCAAAUCAUCUCAAACAAAUCUUCUUCCUCUAAGAGGGGAUAAACAGCCUUAAUUCAUAAAAUUUCAUAAAAUUACAUAAGAGACUUUAAAGCCAACAAAAUGGCUCCAUUGACGAUAAUAGUGGUGUUUUUUCUCUGGGUAGGAUCACUGCUUAUGGUUCAAGGUGGAGAUCCCACCAUUAGUUUCGAGUGGAAGGUCACUUAUGGCACCAUAUCUCCUUUGGGUGUUCCCGUAAAAGGUAUUCUCAUUAACGGGCAAUUCCCUGGGCCAAAUAUGAACUCUACCACCAACAACAAUGUUAUAGUCAAUGUGUUUAACAACCUUGAUGAGCCAUUCCUUUUGACAUGGUAAACAAGAGUACUUUUUUUUCCCUUGAUUAUAUUAGUAAAGAGUUGAGCUUAAUUAUAUAUAUAUAUAUAUGGAAAUGAAUUUUGUUGCAGGAGUGGCGUGCAGCAUAGGAAGAAUCCUUGGCAAGAUGGUGUGCUUGGAACCAACUGUCCUAUCCCCCCCGGGACGAAUUACACCUAUAAAUUCCAGGUGAAGGACCAAAUUGGCAGCUUCAUCUAUUAUCCAGUGACGGCUAUGCAUAAGGCGGUUGGUGGUUUCGGUGGCCUUCGUAUUAACAGUCGUUUACUCAUUCCUGUCCCCUAUGCUGAUCCAGCUGAUGACUAUACUAUCAUAGCAGGAGAUUUUUUCAACAAGGGACACACCACCCUCAAGAAAAUUCUUGAGAGCGGUCGCAACCUUGGUAGAUGUGAUGGUGUCCACAUUAAUGGAAAAGUUGCUAAAGGUGAUGGUAGCGAUGAACCUCUCUUCACCAUGGAAGCAGGCAAAACCUACAAGUAUAGGAUUUGCAAUGCGGGUAUCAAGACAUCUCUGAACGUCAGGUUCCAAGGCCACACCAUGAAAUUGGUUGAGAUGGAAGGUUCCCACACAGUGCAAAAUGACUAUGAAUCCCUUGAUGUUCAUGUUGGACAGUGCUUCGCUGUGCUUGUUACAGCCGACCAAGAACCAAAGGAUUACUUUGUUGUGGCCUCUACCCGUUUUACCAAACGCGAGGUUACAGCAACUGGUGUCAUCCGUUACACCAAUGGCAAGGGCGCACCCUCACCUAAGUUGCCACCACCACCAGUUGGUUGGGCUUGGUCACUCAAUCAAUUCCGUACCUUCCGUUGGAACUUGACUGCCAGCGCUGCUAGGCCUAACCCUCAGGGCUCCUACAAAUAUGGUUCCGUUAACAUUACCCGUACCAUCAAGCUGGCCAACACUGCUCAAAAAGUAGAUGGCAAGCUUCGAUAUGCUAUUAAUGGAGCCUCCUAUGUCGAACCAACCACUCCACUAAAACUUGCAGAAUACUACGGCGUAGCUGACAAGGUUUUCAAGUAUGAUACCAUUCCUGAUGACCCACCAGCUGAGAUCACUAAAGUAACCAUGGAACCUGUUGUCCUCAAUUUGACACACAGAAACUUUAUGGAAAUCAUCUUCGAGAAUCGCGAAACAGCCAUCCAGUCUUAUCACUUGUGUGGCUAUGCCUUCUUUGCUGUGGCGUAAGUAUUUGGUCUUCAAAUUCUUCUAGUAUAUAGUCAUUACUUUCCGUUUAACUAAAUUCUAUAAUCAUUUGUUGCAGUGUCGAGACUGGGCAAUGGAGCCCUGAGAAGAGGAAGAACUACAAUCUUCUUGAUGCCGUGAGCAGACACACCAUACAGGUUUUCCCCAAGUCCUGGGCAGCUAUCCUAUUGUCAUUCGACAACUGUGGAAUGUGGAACAUCAGGUCAGAGGUAUGGGACAGGCAUUACCUUGGGCAACAGCUUUAUGUUAGUGUUGUUUCCCCUAACAAAUCACUCAGGGACGAAUACAACAUGCCUGAGAGUGCACUAGUUUGCGGUGUUGUGGAAAGCAUGCCAAGGCCACCACCAGCUUACACCUAAUUUAAAGCUUAUAUAAACCUGGAACCAGUUCUGCUUCAAAUGCACAUAAAACGACCUUUGUAGUGACUAAUGCUGACUUUUCCAAUAAAUUAAUUUUCUUGAUGUAAUCAUCAUUCAGCUACUAUAUGUCAUUCAAUAAUAAAUUCUUUCAUUUUUUCUAUUUACAGUGUGUGUGAAAUUUAUUUUAUUUUUUUAAAUGUAGUUAUUUUCGUAAAUAAUAUAAAAAAUAUUAAAAUAGGAUAUAAUGAAAAAAUAAUACAAUCACAAUCCAAAUAGAUAAAUAUGUAAAAACUUACAUAAAUUAACGAAUUAUUAACAAAUAAAAGUUAACUAAUGUUUUUAACUGUUGAAUUUAUUAUUUUAUUUAUCAUGCAAGUAAAAUUUCGUAUUAAUCUAAAUACCAUCUUUAUUAAUAUAUAUAUUUAAUGGUUCAAAGUUUUUACAUUAAAAAAAUAUAGUUAAAUAUUUAAAAUUUAAUCAGAAUUGAAAUUAUGAUAGUUAAAUAUUAAUCAUACAAAAAUAAAUAUUAAAUAGAAAAUUUGCAUAGUAUUGGUAAGUUCACGAUAACAAAUGCUCUCUCCAAGAAAUCAAAGGCAAAGCCAGAAAAUUUGUUUAGGGGACCGAAAUUAAAUUGUAAUUUUUUACGAUAGCAAAAGUGCAAUUUCACAAUUUUAAUAGCCUAUGUCUUUAUAAUUUUUAUAAGGUUAAAUCAAAUUUUUAUCAUUUUAAAGGAGCCAACGUACAAUUCUAUUUUUAUUAAUUUAAAAUCUUAAAAUACCUAAAUAAAAAAAUUUCAAUUUUAGCUCACCCUUAAUCCAUCCUACUUCAAAUACAAACAUAAUCAAGCAAAAUAAUCAUUAAUGCAUAGGUAGUGAGAAUAGCCUUUAUAAAAUAUCAAUUAAAAUAAACAUAAUUCAAGUUAGAGUCUUCAAAAUUACAACCCAAAAACAUUAAAAUAAAACAAAUUUCACUUAGCAGAUAGCUUCUGAAACUGAGGGUUGCAAAUUCUUUGAUGAGAAUUGGAAUCCCAAUAUUGGGGUGGUAAAUUAUUUCAUCCCCACAUGACAACUGAAACCCUAAGUUUAUGGUGAUUCUGGCACAGAAAAAUCAUCAUACUAAGAAAAGAAAAAACAUGAUACUAAUUGCAGUAGUGUCACCUGUAGUGCCAAGUCCUUUAUACCACUCCCCCUUUUAGUUCAAGAGAUUUUCCAAACCCCAACUGAAGCAGCUUGGCCAGGAGAUCAUUCCACAAUGCUUUGACUCGUCGAACAUUGGCUUGAAGUUGUUGAAUGACCUUUUUCUUGGGAGGCAAUCUCAGCAUCAAGAUGUUGGAGAUGAAAUGUCUUCCUUUGUGCCAACUCCAACAGGCUGGGCCACAACAUCAGGAACUGCUUCAGGGAGUGCAACCUGGUGUUUCCCUUCAAGCCACUUGUAUGAAUACUUCAACUCUAUAGGCUUCCUUUCAUAUUUUUCAGUAGCCAAUACAAUUUCAUGAUUUUGAUUAUAAAGAAUCUGAAAAAUUAAGUGAAUGGAAAGAAAGACAUAACAUGGGGUAAACAAAAUUAGUAUGUUUGAUGAUUUCCUGAAAAAUAAGCUCUCCCAAGUCAAAUUGAAUCACAUCACAAAUCUUCCUAAGCAGAGUAACAAUCUUCUUUGUAACUGUAUUCCUUUGGCUAUUAGGAAUCCAGUUUCUGGUUGCAAUAGCAAACAGGCCAGCAUAAGUGGGCUCUAGAGUAGAAGCUUGUGGGCAAGGUAAGGUGAACUCCAUUGGUGAUGGUUUUGACCAUUAUACCAUAAAAUUCAUCUAGCUUGACAUCUAUCAAGCAUGAGUGAAGCAAUAGCUCCCAAAUUUGUGUAGGGCCAAAAUUAUACCAUCUUCCUCGAAUAUAAGCUUUGUGGAAGAGUUUGCUCGAAGACUUAUUGACAGACUUGAGAAGAUUGACAUAAAACCCAUAAACCCCCUCCUCGGCAUAUGGUUUUACAAAAGCAACAAAUUGUAGCAAGUCAUUCUACUCAAUGAAGUGCUUCUUUGUACACAGCAAAUAUCUGUUGGUGCAGACGGUUGACAAAAUUGUUUGCUCUUUCUUUUGCAGUAGAGUAUCUUCUUCUUUGGAAGAGGGAACAGUAGUAAAUUUCUUGGGAGAAUCUUACCUUGCAGGAGUGGACUGAGGGAUGUUUUGUCUCCUGGUUCUGUUAUGAACCGAAACAGAAAGCAGAAAAUAGAAAAGGGAAGAAGAAAACAGAAAGUUGGUCUAUUCAUUAAUUGUUUUAGUGAUGCACACUAUUUUGUGAUGGUUUUUCUUAUUAAUGCAUUAUAUGAUUUUAAUAAUCAACACAGUAAUUAGAAUUAAAACAUGGCAGCAAUGAAAUUGUUGAAAGCUUGCGGAUGACUUGAAUACAAACAAAUGGUCCAAAAUAUUUUAUUUCAUUAAAUACAUUUGGAACUCAAGCUUUUCUCACCCUCUCUCUCCCCAUACACCAGAAUUGGCUACAGAUUUAUAAGCUUAUUUAAAUUAACUGCUGAAAGGUGGAGGCCUUGGCAUGCCUUGCACGAUGCCGCAAGUCAAUACACCUUCCGGCAAGUUGUACUCAUCCUUGAGGGAUCGGUUAGGGGAAAUAACACUAGCAUAAAGCUGUUGCCCAAGGUAAUGCCUGUCCCAUAUCUCCGACCUCAGGUUCCACAUCCCGCAGUUGUCGAAUGUCAAUAGGAUUGCUGACCAGGAGUUGGGGAAUACCUGUAUGGUGUGUCUGCUCACGGCGUCGAGAAGAUUGUAGUUCAUCCUCUUCUCAGGGCUCCAUUUCCCAAUGUCCAUGCUGCAACAAAUCAUUAUACAACUUAUUACUUCAACUCAGGCAAUAAAAUCACCACAUGUAUUUGUUACGUUAGAAGCUAUACUUACCCCACGGCAAAGAAUGAGUAGCCAGACAAGUGGUAAGACUGAAUGGCGGUCUCGGGAUUCUCGAAGAUGAUUUCCACAAAGUUUCUGUGUGUCAUGUUGAGGACAAUAGGUGCCAAAGUUACCUUAGUGUUGUCACUUGGUGGCUCAUCGGGAAUGGUAUCAUACUUGAAAACCUUGUCGGCUACGCCGUAGUAUUCUGCAAGUUUUAGUGGAGUGGUUGGUUCGACAUAGGAGGCUCCAUUAAGAGCAUAUCGGAGCUUGCCAUCUACUCUUUGUGCAGUGUUGGCAAGCUUGAUGGUGCGGGUAAUGUUAAUGGAACCAUAUUUGUAGGAGCCCUGAGGGUUAGGCCUAGCAGCGUUAGAAGUCAAGUUCCAACGGAAGGUACGGAAUUGAUUGAGUGACCAAGCCCAACCAACAGGUGGUGGUGGCAACUCGGAUGAGGCAGCUCCCUUGCCAUUCUUGUAACGGAUGAUGCCGGUUGCUGUAACCUCACGUCUGGUAAAACGGGUAGAGGCCACCACAUAGUAAUCCCUUGGUUCCUGGUUGGCAGUAACAAGCACACUGAAGCACUGUCCAACAUGCACAUCAAGGGAGUCAUAGUCAUUCUGCAUUGUGUGGGAACCCUCCAUCUCAACCAAUUUCAUGGUGUGGCCCUGGAACCUGACGUUCAGAGAUGUCUUGAUACCCGUAUUGCAAAUCCUGUACUUGUACGUUUUGCCUGCCUCCAUCGUAAACAGAGGUUCAUCCUUCCCAUCACCUUUCGCAACUUUCCCAUUAAGGUGGACACCGUCACAUCUCCCAAGGUUGCGACCGCUAUCAAGAAUCUUCUUGAGGCUGGUGUGUCCCUUGUUGAAAAAGUCUCCCACUAAGAGAGUAUAGUCAUCAGCCGGAUCAGCGUAGGGAACAGGGAUGAGUAGACGGCUGUUAACACGGAGGCCACCGAAACCACCAACCGCCUUGUGCAUAGCCGUCACCGGAUAGUACAUGUAGCUGCCAAUCUGAUCCUUCACCUGGAAUUUAUAGGUGUAAUUCUUCCCAGGGGGGAUAGGACAGUUGGUUCCCAGAACACCAUCUUGCCAAGAGUUCUUCCUAUGCUGCACGCCGUCCCUGCAACAAAUCCCAUUUCCACAGAUAAUUAGCUCGACUCUUCACUAGCAUAAUCAUAUUAAUGUAAAAAAGAAACUACUCUUGGUAGUCGCUUACCAUGUUACAAGGAAUGGCUCAUCAAGGUUAUUGAACACAUUGACCACGAUAUUGUUGUUGGUGGUAGAGUUAAGAUUUGGUCCCGGGAAUUGCCCGUUAAUAAGAAUACCCUUUACUGGCACUCCCAAGGGAGCAAUGGUGCCAUAGGUGACGUUCCAUUCGAAAAAAAGGGUGGGAUCUCCGCCCUGGACCAUAAGCAUUGAUCCUGCCAAGAGAAAUAGCAUCGAUAUUAACAUUAAUCGAGCCAUCUCUUACCCUUUUUUUUCGCCCGACAGUAAUUUAUUAAUUAUCCCCUUCUAGAGGAAGAGGAAGAUGGUUU
Molecule: long non-coding RNA, 15236 nt
Filed under: Gossypium barbadense (sea-island cotton)
Lineage: Eukaryota; Viridiplantae; Streptophyta; Magnoliopsida; Malvales; Malvaceae
Description: long non-coding RNA (GBAR_LNC022780)
Source: RNAcentral